GUCGAAGCGGGGAUCUGGCCGCCGCUUGGAAAGAGGCGUGCGGGUGAACCGAGCCCAAGUGCGCGGUGAGGGCGGCGGCCGAGGCCCCUGCCAGGCCCUCCGGGGCCGCCCCCAGAUCCCCCACGCCGGCGUGCAGAAUGUCUGCGAUGCAGAAGGAGGGCUUUUUGACGGCGGCGGGGUCCAAGGGGAAGGAGCAGCCGCCUGGGCCGGCCGAGGAGCAGUAAGCGGCCGACCAGAGGCUGAAGUUGGAGGCGUAGAAGGGAGCCAGCCCGGCUGCGAACAUCCUGCCGGGGCCAGGUGGUCUCAGAAGAGGCAACUGGUUGCCAGGAUGCACAGUCUAUGAGACCCAGAAGUAACUCUGGAGAUCCUCCAAUUACCUCUCACUUUACAGUGGAGGAAACUGAGGCCCAGAUGGAGUCAGUAGUUUACUUGAGAUCUCACAGUUGCAGAAGUGGACUAGAAGCCGGACGGAGUUUUGCUCUUGUUGCCCAGGCUGGAAUGUAAAUGGUGUGAUCUCGACAUACUGCAACCUCUGCCUCCCAGGUUCAAGCGAGUCUCCUGCC
This 563-nucleotide non-coding RNA is filed under the name Pongo abelii (Sumatran orangutan). Lineage: Eukaryota; Metazoa; Chordata; Mammalia; Primates; Hominidae. The record is from RNAcentral.